This 6625-nucleotide long non-coding RNA is filed under the name Daucus carota (carrot). RNAcentral describes it as "long non-coding RNA (DCAR_LNC000340)". The record is from RNAcentral. Lineage: Eukaryota; Viridiplantae; Streptophyta; Magnoliopsida; Apiales; Apiaceae.
CACAGAGAGGUGAAUAUUUGAAAUAUACUGAGUUCUAGUAAUCAUAAACAAUCACACACAGCACAUUGAAAUAUACAGAGUACUAGUAAUCAUUAGUCGUACUUGUGCAGAUAGUAGAAUCAAAUCAAAAUCCUACACACAAAACUAGGUUCGGUUCCAUAUAGUCAAUUAGUCUUUGUAAUUCCUAAGCACGCGGCGAACAGUUUCAACAAAAUCCUACAAUUAUCAGAAAUUAACCACUGAAACACGAGAACAAAUUUCGAUAAUAUCCAAUAGAUUCAGCUUACGUAUCAUACACACGAAACCUUUCAUAGAUCUAGUUCUGAUUUGUUAGUCCGUAAAUAGAAUCACUAAUCAAGGAUAUCUGUGCACAAAUCACACUCACACAGCUGUACACAUCAAUGGAUUUAGACAGAAAAUUUGUAACCAACAGAUUCAUAAUCAAGCAACUAUCGGAAACAGAACACGAUGAUGUACACAAAACUAGAUUCGAUUCUCAUUCAAAAAAUUUCAAACAGAAUGAUUAAUAAUCUACCGAAGCGUACACAAACACACACAACAUACCCAACUGUCAGAAUCGACCAAUUCAGAUUACUGAUAUCUAAGCAAUUCUAAAAACGAAUGAAACAAAAAGCAAAUUAACAGUAAUUAACUUAAUGAGAGAGAUAAGCGCCAUAAACAAACUCCAGUUGGAUAAUUCCCAAAUGAAAUUCCAUGUAAAAGCCCCAAUUCCAAGCUUCGAGAAAAAGCUCAAAUCAUCUGAAAAAUGUAGAUUGUCGAUCAUAGUUAGUACAAAAUCGAUGAAAUAAUUAAAAUAUAUACCAAUCAGAAGAAACUCUUGGAAACGCAUGAAACUUAUGAAGACCCCUGAAUUCGAUCUUUCAAUUGGCUAUUUCAGUUGGCGAGAAUGAAAGAGAGCGAAGGCUGAACCCAACUAAGGUGAUGAUGUUAAGAAGAGAAAAGUAAUAGAUCUACUUUAACAAGAAAAUGAGAGCAGGAAGAGGAAAAUUCAUUCAGCAAAAAACAAGAUUGUACCAAGUCUGAGAAUUACAACCAGGGUGGAGGCAUAAAUAACAACCUAGUACUAUUACUGACACAGGACCAUACACCAACAGGCUGUGCAUUGGCCCGUUAGAAUUAAACAAGCAAAACGAUGUAGUUUAAUAAACUAACAGAUUCCCUCCACUAAGCUGCAAAUGACCUCUAUUGUAUUCCCGCCUUUUAUGAUAGAUAAAUUGGUUUGGGCCAAUCGUAACAGCUGCCCUCUUCUUAAAUUCAUCCUUGUCCUCAAGGAUGGAAGUCAGGAAACUUCUUAGAGAAUCUGUCCCAGCGCUACCAGGUGGCAUUUUCAGCAUCUCCAUUCUCCCAUUGCACUUGAAUCAUGACAACCGGAGAAUUACCAUGUUUAAUCAGCUUCCUGUCCAGAAUUGCAGUUGGCUGGGGAUGUAGUGCACCAUCUUCAUUCAUGCCUGGCAAGGUAGUCUGCACCAAUUUGUGAGUUCCAAUUUUUUUCUUCAGCUGCGAGACGUGGAAGACAUUGUGUAACUUGCUCCCUGCUGGCAGUAGUAGCCGAUAUGCAACUUUCCCAAUUCUUUCAGUAACUUUGUAUGGACCAAAAAAUUUGGCCGACAGUUUGUGAUUCCUCCUUGUGACCAGAGAGUGUUGCCUAUAAGGCUGCAGUUUUAAGAAGACUUCAUCACCGACGGAAAAUUCUCUUUCUGUCCUCUUUUUAUUAGCAUACCACCGCAUCCUUUCCUGAGAUUUAACCAAGUUUUCCUUGACUAAUUGCUGAGUUUCCCGUCUCUUCUGCAAAAGCUCAUUAACACUUGCAUCAUUUGUUUUUGUGUACUGGUAACUGAUGGAGGGAGGGGGGGGUUGAGUAUAAUGCCUGGUAAGGAGACAUUCCCAAAGCACUGUGGUGGUUAGUAUUAUACCACCAUUCUGCAAGUGCUAACCAAUUAACCCAGUCAUGGGGUUUUUGUCCAGUCAUGCAUCUGAGGUACAUCUCAAUGCAUUGGUUGACUCGUUCAGUUUGACCAUCAGUUUGAGGAUGGUAAGCUGAGCUGAGUUUAAGCUUGGUUCCAAGAGCAGCGAAAAGGGCUUUCCAGAAUUGACUAACAAAUAUCGGAUCUCUAUCUGAUAUAAUAGCUUGGGGAGCGCCAUGCAAUUUUAUCACAGAAGAUAAUAGUUCCUGAGCAACUGAUAAUGCGGUGUAAGGUGAGAUAGAGGGAUUAGAUGGCAAUACCUGGUUAACUUGUCCACCACCACAAGAAUGACAUUUUUUCCCUUGGAUUUAGGUAAACCUUCAAUAAAAUCCAUUGAUAUAACCUCCCAAGCAUGCUGAGGUAUUUCAAUCAGUUGGAGUAAUCCAGGAGUAGCGAUAUGUUCAGGCUUAUUUCUUUGGCAGAUUUCACAUGCUUUGAUGUGGUUGGUAAUGUCAUUCUUCAUUCCAGGCCAAUAGAAGAUUCUUUCUGCUCUCUUGAAGGUUGCUGUGAUGCCUGAAUGGCCUCCCUCAGCAUUGCUGUGGAUGGUAGCACAAAUCUUGGCUCUUAAGUCACCUCCAGUGCCUACAUAGUACUUCCCAUCUUUUUUAAGAAUCCCAUCAGUUGCAGAGUAGCCAUCAGGAUUGGUGGGGUUAAUAGCCAACUGAGUUAGUAUGUCUUCAGCAAUGAUAUCAUUAGUGAUACUAUCUUGCAACUCUUGUUUCCAUUGGGGAAUGACCUGUUGCAUUAUCAUAUUGAGUUCAGAGUCCUCAAAAACCCUAGAUAGGGCAUCAGCAGCACAAUUUUCUUUGCCCUUCUUAUAAACCACCGUGUAAUCAAACCCCAUUAGUUUAGAUAACCACUUUUGUUGGAGACUUGUAGUGAUCUUCUGCUCCAUGAUGUGCUUAAGAGCCUCCUGGUCAGUCUUGACAAUGAAGGAAUGACCCAGUAGGUAUGAUCUCCACUUCUGAGUGGCCAUAAUGACAGCCAACAACUCUUUUUCAUAAGUAGACAGGCCUAGAUGUUUAGGGCAGAGUGCUUUACUCAUAUAGGCUAUUGGUUGGCCUUCUUGCAUUAAGACAGCCCCAACUCCACUUUGACAAGCAUCGGUUUCAACUACUAGUGGUUUUGAGAAGUCCGGAAGUGCUAAGACCGGUGUACAUGACAUGAUCUCCUUCAGUUUGAUAAAAGCAGCUUCUGCCUCAAUGGUCCAACAAAAAUUUCCCUUCUUCAACAUUUGAGUUAAUGGCCUGCUGAUAAUACCAUAAUGUUGCACAAAUCUUCUGUAAUACCCGGUUAAUCCGAGGAAACCUCUCAAACCCUUAAUGGUCUUAGGUUUUGGCCAAUUAAGCAUGGCCGCAAUCUUGCUCUCGUCUGCAGAAACUCCCUGGGAGGAUAUUAUAUGACCAAGAUAUUCAAUCUGUGGCCUAGCAAAGACACACUUACUGCUUUUGACAAACAACUGGUGAGCUCGAAGUAUGUCAAAAACUUGUUUAAGGUGGGAUAUGUGUUCUUGCUCACUAGAACUGUAAAUCAGUAUAUCAUCAAAAAAAACAAGCACAAACUUUCUUAAAUAGGGGCUGAAAACAUCAUUCAUAAGAGCUUGAAAAGUGGCAGGGGCAUUUGUAAGCCCAAAAGGCAUAACCAUAAACUCAAAAUGGCCUUGAUGUGUUUUGAAAGCGGUUUUAAAAAUGUCCGUCUCAUUGACCCGAAUUUGAUGAUAACCACUUCGUAAAUCCAGUUUGGUGUACACUUUACUACCCUUCAAUUCAGCUAGUAAUUCUUCAAUAACUGGUAUGGGAAACUUAUUUUUAACAGUUAUUGAAUUGAGAGCUCUGUAAUCAACUACUAACCUCCAGGAAUUGUCCUUUUUUCUGACCAGAAGGACAGGUGCAGCAAAGGGGGAGCAACUGUUCCUGAUUAUGCCUGCAGCAAGCAUCUCAUUUGUGAUUUUUUCGAUUUCUUCCUUAUGAGCAAUUGGACAUCUAUAGGGGUUAGAUGUAGUCGGUUGGCUACCAGGUUUCAAGGGAAUGUUGUGGUCUUGUGAUCUUUGAGGAGGCAGAUGGUCCGGAGUCUGGAAUAUAUCAGCAUAUUGUGCUAACAGGGAACUAAUAGCAGGUGUAAGUUCAUCAGUAACGACAGGUUCAGAGUUGAGAGCACAGAGCUGAACUAAGAAAUAAGCAUCCUCUUGGUGGUAUUUGAUGGCCGGAUCAGAAUCUGUAGUUAAUUGAAUGAGGGGUUUCUGCUGAGAUUGUUGUAAUUUGACUUUGUUACCUUGCCAGUUAACUGUAAUGUUAUGUGAAUGGUAGUCAAAGGUAACUGGACUCACCAUAGACAUCCAGUUGACUCCGAGAAUGAUGUCGUAGCCUUUCAGGGGUAUCACAUUCAUGGGGGUGUAGAAUUGGUGGCCUGAAACUGUCCAAUCUACCCUGUUAAUCAUGGUGGAACACUCCAUAAUUUCACCAUUAGCGACAGUGAUCUGAAAUUUGUUGCAAGGUGAGGUUUGUAGACCCAGCUGUUUAACCAAGCCUUGAGAAAUGUAGUUGUGAGUAGAACCACUAUCAACUAGCAUCGAAAUACUCCUUCCCUUAAGCUGACCCUGCAAUUUCAAGGUGCAGUUGCUAGAUGAUCCAGUCAUAGCAUGGAGAGAUAUUUUUGCUUGUUCAGGAGGGUCUGAUAUUGGAAAAACAUUGUCAUCUUCCCAAAUAACAGCCAGAUCAUCAGUAGAGUUGUCGCCGCUUGAGGAUUCAUCUCCCAUCAUAACAUAAAUCUUCUUUUUUCUACAAUCAUGACCCCGCUCAUAUUUUUGGUCACAGUGAAAGCACAGACCCUUAAGUUUCCUCUCGUUGAUCUCAUCUAGAGAUAAUUUUCUGUAGGAUUCAGGCCCCUUUGAGCUAGUAGCAGGUGAGGUUUUCUCGGCGUUGGGCUUAGGAUAGGUAUUACCGGCAUUGGUGUUGGAAACAGAAGAAGAGUACUUCUGUGGUCUGUAUCUUUUAUCCAACACAGUAAGAUAGAAUUCUUGUCCCCUGGCUCUAUCCCUUGCUUCUUGUAAGGUUUGCGGUUUCUGGUUAUAAAGGUUCUGUGAAAUCUCCUCCUUGAGUCCACUAAUGAAGUUAUCAAUAUAAUAGGAUUCUCUGUGAAACCCUUCUUGAAGCAUGACAAAAUUUCUUAAUUCAUCAAAUUGGUUGAUAUAUUCAUCGACAGUGCCCUUUUGGACCAAUUUGUUGAACUGCCCCACAAUAUUUUCAUAGCCACCUUUAUUGAACCUUUGGCAGACAAGUCUGGUAAAUUCAGGCCACAACAAAUUGGUUUUCUCUUCCUCAAUAGUUCUAUACCAGAUGUCUGCGUCACCAUCCAUAUGCAAAGCAGCACAUAAAACUCUAGAUCUGAGAUCAAUAUUAGGCAUCAAGUGAAAGUAUUUUUCACACUUAGUGACCCAACUACGUGGAUCCUUGCCCUCAAAUCUAGGAAAAUCAAACUUUGGGGUCUUCAAGUUGUGUGUAGUAGGAAAAGGAGCAGAGUUAGGAUGUGGUUGGGCUGGUGUCCAAGUUGAUGGACCAGAAUGGGUAACUGUAGGCUGUGUAACUGGAAUAUGAUAGUUUGGGAAAGGAGGGGUGUAAGAGUUUUGAGUAAUUUGUGGGUAGACAGGAGGUGCAAAUGGGUUUAAAGUGGAGGGGUAAAGAUGUGGUUGUAUUUGGGGAAGGUUAAAGGGAAAAAAUCCUGGAGGAACAUUAGAUAUGUUGAAGUUUCGAAGGUCAGUGGUGGCAACAGGGUCUGGUGGUCUAAUAGGAGUAUCUAUAGAGGAGGAUAAAGUGGUUGAUGUAUGUUUUGGGUGUUUCUGGGUGGUAUUAACAUCAUGGAUUCGCAAAGAAUUACCAACAACAGCAUAAGUACUAGGUGUAGAGCAAGCAGAGAUUACCAGAUUAGGUUGUGGAGGAGAGGGUUUGCUAGAACUGCCUGCUUCAUGGACUGGUGUUGAAAUCCUGGCUUGGUUUUUCAUCAAUUCCAUGAGGUCAGAUAAGCUUUGCUUGAUGUCUUUGUUCUCAGUAGAGAAUUGCUCUCUGAUUUGUUGAAGUUGGUCAGAGGUAGAAAGCUGAAAAUCCUCCAUCGAAUCUAUUUUUUUCGCUAUUGCAGAAAGAGCUUGAUCAUACUUCUGUAAAGAUUGCUUCUCAGCCAUGAUUUAGAAUUUUCAAGGAAGGAUUGGCUCUGAUACCAAUUGUUAAGAAGAGAAAAGUAAUAGAUCUACUUUAACAAGAAAAUGAGAGCAGGAAGAGGAAAAUUCAUUCAGCUCUGAGAAUUACAACCAGGGGGGAGGCAUAAAUAACAACCUAGUACUAUUACUGACACAGGACCAUACACCAACAGGCUGUGCAUUGGCCCGUUAGAAUUAAACAAGCAAAACGAUGUAGGUUAAUAAACUAACAGAUUCCCUCCACUAAGCUGCAAAUGACCUCUAUUGUAUUCCCGCCUUUUAUGAUAGAUAAAUUGGUUUGGGCCAAUCGUAACAGAUGAACCCAAUUUUACAAUUGAGAUGCACAAUCAAUUAGCAAGAGAAAGUGGUCAAAGUGAAGCGAGGUGAGAAGAGAGCGGAGAGCGUAACUUCAGACUCGAGAGCUUCUGUUUUUCUUUUCUUUAAUUUUCAC